This 492-nucleotide ribosomal RNA is filed under the name uncultured bacterium. RNAcentral's name for it is "partial 16S ribosomal RNA". It matches the Rfam family "Bacterial small subunit ribosomal RNA", at positions 29 to 507 of the family's 1533-position model. The record is from RNAcentral.
AGUGAACGCUGGCGGUAGGCCUAACACAUGCAAGUCGAACGGCAGCACAGUAAGAGCUUGCUCUUACGGGUGGCGAGUGGCGGACGGGUGAGGAAUACAUCGGAAUCUACUUUUUCGUGGGGGAUAACGUAGGGAAACUUACGCUAAUACCGCAUACGACCUACGGGUGAAAGCAGGGGAUCUUCGGACCUUGCGCGAUUGAAUGAGCCGAUGUCGGAUUAGCUAGUUGGCGGGGUAAAGGCCCACCAAGGCGACGAUCCGUAGCUGGUCUGAGGGGAUGAUCAGCCACACUGGAACUGAGACACGGUCCAGACUCCUACGGGAGGCAGCAGUGGGGAAUAUUGGACAAUGGGCGCAAGCCUGAUCCAGCCAUACCGCGUGGGUGAAGAGGGCCUUCGGGUUGUAAAGCCCUUUUGUUGGGAAAGAAAAGCAGCAGGUUAAUACCCCGCUGUUCUGACGGUACCCAAAGAAUAAGCACCGGCUAACUUCGUG